GCGGCGGACGGGUGAGUAAUGCCUAGGAAUCUGCCUGGUAAAGGGAAACGCUAUAUAUCCCCCGCAUAAACGUCUCCUCACGGGAGGAAAAAAGUGGGGGGGAUCUUCUGGGGACCUCCCACGCUAUUUCCAGAAUGAGCCCCUAGGUUCGGGAUUAAGCUUAGUUGGGUGAAGGUAAAAGGGCUCCACCCAAGGGCGGACGGAUCCGGUUAACUGGUUCUGAGAAGGAUGGAUCCAGUCACCACUGGGAACUGGAGACCACGGUUCCCAGACUCCUUACGGGGAGGCCAGCCAGUGGGGGAAUAUUGGACCAAUGGGCGGAAAGCCCUGAUCCCAGCCCAUGCCGGCGUGUGUGAAGAAGGUCUUUCGGAUUGUAAAAGCACUUUAAAGUUGGGAGGAAAGGGCAGUAAGGUUAAUACCUUGGCUGUUUUGACGUUACCCAACAGAAUAAGCACCGGCUAACUUCGUGCCAGCAGCCGCGGUAAUACGAAGGGUGCAAGCGUUAAUCGGAAUUACUGGGCGUAAAGCGCGCGUAGGUGGUUCGUUAAGUUGGAUGUGAAAGCCCCGGGCUCAACCUGGGAACUGCAUCCAAAACUGGCGAGCUAGAGUAUGGCAGAGGGUGGUGGAAUUUCCUGUGUAGCGGUGAAAUGCGUAGAUAUAGGAAGGAACACCAGUGGCGAAGGCGACCACCUGGGCUAAUACUGACACUGAGGUGCGAAAGCGUGGGGAGCAAACAGGAUUAGAUACCCUGGUAGUCCACGCCGUAAACGAUGUCGACUAGCCGUUGGGGAUCCUUGAGAUCUUAGUGGCGCAGCUAACGCAUUAAGUCGACCGCCUGGGGGAGUACGGGCCGCAAGGGUUAAAACUCAAAUGAAUUGACGGGGGGCCCGCACAAGCGGUGGAAGCAUGUGGGUUUAAUUUCGAAAGCAACGCGAAAGAACCUUUACCAGGGCCUUGGACAUGCAAAAGAACUUUUCCAGAAGAUGGGAUUGGGUGCCUUUCGGGAAACUCCUGAACACAGGGUGCUGGCAUGGGCUGUUCCGUCAGCUCCGUGUCCGUGAAAAUGUUUGGGGUUUAAGUUCCCCGUUAACGAGCCGCCAACCCCUUUGGUCCCUUUAGUUUACCCAGCCACCGUUUAAAGGGUGGGGGCACCUCCUAAAGGGAAGAACUGGCCCGGGUGGAACAAAACCCCGGAAAGGAAAAGGGUGGGGGGGAUUGAACCGUUCCAAAGUUCCAUUCCAUGGGGGCCCCUUUACACGGGCCCUGGGGGGCUUAACACGUGCUACCGUGGGCGGUACAAAGGGUUGCCAAGCCGCGAGGUGGAGCUAAUCCCAUAAAACCGAUCGUAGUCCGGAUCGCAGUCUGCAACUCGACUGCGUGAAGUCGGAAUCGCUAGUAAUCGUGAAUCAGAAUGUCACGGUGAAUACGUUCCCGGGCCUUGUACAC
RNAcentral lists this ribosomal RNA (1446 nucleotides) under Pseudomonas aeruginosa. RNAcentral's name for it is "bacterial SSU rRNA". It matches the Rfam family "Bacterial small subunit ribosomal RNA", at positions 95 to 1388 of the family's 1533-position model. RNAcentral also lists the same sequence under 1 other name. The record is from RNAcentral. Lineage: Bacteria; Pseudomonadati; Pseudomonadota; Gammaproteobacteria; Pseudomonadales; Pseudomonadaceae.